CAAAGGUCACACUUUUGUGUACACUAGAAUGUGUGUGGCACUCUUGAUGGUGACUCGUAACGUUCGGAAUAUAAUGUCCGUAUUCGUCUCACAUUCACAGGAGAGAAAAAGAAAAACAUAAACUUAAAGAAGAUAAAAUGGGGGGAAAGAAUCGAUCCCAGUUGGUAAACGUCUACCAUGUCAACCAACUUUUGAAUACGACCUGGAUACCGGAUUUUCUGCCUUUUACAUUUUUGUUUUUCUCUAUUACUUGUUAAAUAAGAACCAAGUUAUCAAAAGAAGUCUAAGAAAAAAGCGACAUCGAAGAAGAUAAGCUUUUUUUUUAUAGCUCGUUAAAAGCCAAUUUGGGAAUGGAAGAUUAAACGCAAUUCAUCUAUAGAAUUCGAUCCGGUUCGGAUCGUUACGUUCCACCUCCUGUUCAACGACAACAAACAAGUUGCAUAGAAACUGUGCAAACCACUAGAGAAGAAGAAAAAAAAAACGGACCAAAUGGAGGGGCCCCGAUCAUUUGAAAUGCGACCGACUAAACUUUCCACUACGCAUCGAGUCCAAAAACAAGAUGGCUUCGUAAGGAGCCAGACGACAUUCUUGUGUCUUGAAAAUCGAACAAGGUGGCAAAGAGAGAGCACACACACACACACACAAGGACGGUGGGAUUUUGUAGUUGCAGGAGGACCACACCGACCUCGGAAAGGACGUUUCCAAAAAUAGAUUCGAAAAACGGUGAGCUACUCCAACCUGCUUUAGCUCUCGCUACGAUAACUCCUGUCCAUCCAUUUCAACGUCAACAAACUAUCAAAUGUCAGUGACUGGCUGUUUUUCAUCUGGCGCGCGAGAGCAGAGAAAAAUGGCGUGGCUAGCGGUCAUGCACCUUUGACUAGGACAUCAAAAGCCAUCGAGCAUAGAAAUGAAUCGUUUACCGCGUAGCCCAGGUACACGUGCUUCUCCCCAAAAAUCUGGACAGCCUUAAUUCUUACCACGUAAAUGCAUAAAGCCUCUUAGUCGGGGUUUUUCCAGCUGGCUUUAUUUCCUUACGGAUCUCUUUUCUCGUUAGCAGUGUGUGAUUGGGUUGGUUGCUUAACCGCGACGUAGGAUCCCUUUCUGGCUUGGAUAUUCGUUGGCUGCUGCGUAUUAGGUUUCCCACCGAAACCGACAGAAUUUUAAUAUGUGACGACCGAGGGCUGUAGUGAAGAAAAUGGCGAACUUCUACGACAAGGAAAAAUGAAUAGAAAAAAAGGAGGAGGAAUUAAAACGGCGUUCCCCUUCCUUGAUAUGAAAACACGGCCUAUGGUGUGAAAACCAUCAAGAAUGUGACGCUUACGUGUAAAGGAGGCGGAAUUUCCUCAACUGUAAAUCCAGGAAAGGUGAAAAGCUGUUGGGCACGAAAAUGGAGGUGUAUUGUACAUGAAAAUCUCUCCCUUCUUUUUGUGUCCCGGGAACUCUCACGCCGUCGACAUCAACGCGACAGGGACGACAAAAGAAAGGAGGAAAAAAAAAAAGCUGAGCAAAUAAAGCUGCUGCUGAUGUUGCAUGUACUCCAGACUCAUAACAAACAAACAGAGACAUACUUAAACCGUGUGACAGAAAGACCAACAACUGACGAAAGUAAAAAAGGGGGAAAGACCAAAGAGAAGGGGAUUGUUCUAUCCACCCUGACGUCCAAAAUGUCUGCCUACGAUCGCUGUUGCCUCACAAAUUCUAUUGAUCCCUAAUACCUUUCAUUCUUACUUAGAAUUCCAUAUUAAAAUUUAAAAUGAAAUGUGUGAAUUAUUUGGAAAAUAUUUCAUGUAAUGGUUUAUUUAGUAUUUAAUAAAAAGAAAUUCUAAAAAAAUUGGCAACACAAACUUGCAACGUAGCAGUUUGCUUCCCUUGCCCCCUGUACGAAAAAGAAGAGAUCUUUUAUGGAAAGGUCGUCUGUUGAAUUCUCAGAUGUCUCAAUUUUUUCAGGUGAUGAGUCACGCUCCAAAAGUCGAAGAAAUCCUUUUUUUUUCAAAGAUGGCGAGACACGAUUGUGUUGGCCAGUAGACAGUUUUUAUCGAUAAACAUCCACUUCAUCUGCGUAUUUUGUUUCUUCCGUGCCACACACAGAAAGAACUCGACAGCCAACAAAAAAGGUGAUGAAGGAGAAUCGAUUACGAGAAACACGUGGUUUCGUACAUUUUGGACCAUGUGAGAGUUUCGUUAAUCUUUGCUGACGUCAGCACUGAGAAAGGCAUGCAGGGAGAAAUGGCAUCCGUAUGAUUGUGAUGGAUAUUCAUGGACGUGGCCACGUCUUCCUCGUCGUGGACUGGCAAAAUGCGGACAGAACCCUCAUCAAGUAGUUUGCCUCUGUAAUAUGGAAAAGACUUCGGCGGAAACAACCACGUGCGUGUUGUGAUUAAAUUAGAGUGCCAGCACAAUGCUGGAGGAUGUUUUCUGGAAGGGAAGGGAAGGUUGUUGUUGUUGUUUUUUGUUUUUGUUUCUGUAUCUGUAUCUGUGUCCUUCCAAUUAAAAUGAAAGCCACACACAUAGAGACAGGUGGUGUGUGUGUGUGGCGGUGCUUUCGGUUAGGCGGUUGCUAUGCGUCUUCGUCCAUUUCUUUUUGUCCGAGACUUUCAAAGCAGAGUGGCCGGUUCCGGUCGUAGAACUAAUUCGACAGGUUUGGUUAUUCAAAAUUUUUGAGAAAUUUAUUUGAAAACAAAAUACAAAGUAUGUCAUUUGUCAGGGCUAAUGAACCCCAUCUGUUAGAUCGUUGUGACAUCAAACAGUUUUUACCUUUUCUUAUCUACAUUUUGUCGCAUCCUCUUGCGAGUUUCAUUCGCCCCUCAAUUGCGAAUAAUAAAACGCAGUUUUGCAGAA
RNAcentral lists this long non-coding RNA (2838 nucleotides) under Daphnia magna. Its description in RNAcentral is "uncharacterized LOC116918917, transcript variant X2". The record is from RNAcentral. Lineage: Eukaryota; Metazoa; Arthropoda; Branchiopoda; Diplostraca; Daphniidae.